AUAACGACGAUAUGCUUUGGGGAGCUGUAAGUAAGCUUUAAUCCAGAGAUUUCCGAAUGGGGGAACCCAGCACGAGUUAUGUCGUGUUAUCCGCAUGUGAAUACAUAGCAUGUGAGAAGGUAGACCCGGAGAAAUGAAACAUAUUAGUACCCGGAGGAAGAGAAAGAAAAAUCAAUUCCCUGAGUAGCGGCGAGCGAAACGGGAAGAGCCCAAACCAACAAGCUUGCUUGUUGGGGUUGUAGGACACUCUUAUGGAGUGAGAAAAGAAUGAGUUAGACGAAUAACCUGGAAAGGUUAAUCAGAGAAGGUAAUAAUCCUGUAGUCGAAAACUGAUUCUCUCUUGAGUGGAUCCUGAGUACGACGGAGCACGUGAAAUUCCGUCGGACUCUGGGAGGACCAUCUCCUAAGGCUAAAUACUCUCUAGUGACCGAUAGUGAACCAGUACCGUGAGGGAAAGGUGAAAAGCACCCCGGAAGGUGAGUGAAAGAGAACUUGAAACCGUGUGCUUACAAGUAGUC
Molecule: ribosomal RNA, 518 nt
Filed under: Staphylococcus felis
Lineage: Bacteria; Bacillati; Bacillota; Bacilli; Caryophanales; Staphylococcaceae
Description: bacterial LSU rRNA
Rfam family: Bacterial large subunit ribosomal RNA
Source: RNAcentral